RNAcentral lists this transfer RNA (84 nucleotides) under Anaeroplasma bactoclasticum. RNAcentral describes it as "tRNA-Leu". It matches the Rfam family "tRNA". Rfam says of the family: Transfer RNA (tRNA) molecules are approximately 80 nucleotides in length. Their secondary structure includes four short double-helical elements and three loops (D, anti-codon, and T loops). Lineage: Bacteria; Bacillati; Mycoplasmatota; Mollicutes; Anaeroplasmatales; Anaeroplasmataceae. The record is from RNAcentral. RNAcentral also lists the same sequence under 2 other names.
GCCGGCGUGAUGAAAUUGGCAGACAUGAUAGACUUAGAAUCUAUUGCGACGAGCGUGCAGGUUCAAGUCCUGUCGCCGGCACCA